CUUCAGGGGCGGGGUUCCCGAAGCCCUACCCCUCUUUCUGUCUCUCUCUUCAUUUUUAAAGGGCACCCCACCCCGUAAACCCCACCAUCUGAAAUUUGCAGAGGACAACCCCUCCCUUUCUCGCUCUAAAACAAGAUAGAAGCUUCUCUUCCUUCUCUCUCAACGCUUUUAUGGCGAAACAAGAAGAACCCAUCUCUUGUGACCCACCAAAAGGCCUGCAAAUUCAGGUACUAAGCUUGGUCGCCGUGCCUCACUACCCACAUUGGUCUGGAAAUCCAUGGCUCCUUCUCUGUUUUCUCUCUCUGUAAACCACUUUUGGGGUAGAGAGAGAGAGCAUGCAAUGAAGUUUUGUACAGUGGUAUAGUGUAGAAGGCAAACAGGAUGGAGCCAGGCAGUAGUAGAUUUUUAUAUACAUAAGAAAAAGAAAUAGCAGAGAAAGGAGGGGGGCAUUUUGAAUGGGAGAUAUGUUUAUAAAUGUGAUUUUUAAAUGGGUUUUUGGUGGAAUCUAUGGGAGAAUGCUCGUUGAGGUCUUUGGAGAUGUUUUUGAUGGGGGGUAUGUAACUCUUUUCGGCCAUGGCUAUGGCGAUGUUUAUGCAUGAAAAAUGUACCCUUUUUACAUUAAUUGAGAUGGUUAUUUAUAAGUUUUUUUUUUCCUUCUGUUUUUUGGAUAACUUCAUGGUGCUUUUUUCGCCAUUAUUGUAAGCCUGGGCCUUGUUCUCUUCCUUAUUUUCUUUUUCUGUUUUGUUGGUUUGUGUGGUUGAUGAGUAAAAGUGAUCCUUUUUUGUUGGUUUUCAUGGUAGUUGAGUAACAGGUUUAUACUUGGUGUUGCAUGGGCGUUUCAUCAUUGAAAUCUUUUGCAGGUUGUUAUUUUUUAUGUGAAAAUGGAUAUUUUUCUCCAUACAUUUCAAUGUAAGACUUUCAAGUUGGUAGUUUGUAUUGGGAUGUGUGGCCUUAAUUUGAUUUCAUCCUUUUGUAGGGUCUGGUUUGGAACUUAGAUUCCCUUUUUCUUUCCUUCUUUUAUUACUUUUUUUUUUGCAUUCUACCCAUUUGAGUAUUAAUCCCUAGGAGGAUUUUACCAAAUUUGGUUUCUUAAUUUUUUUUUUUUCAAGUCCAAAGAAAAAGGUAGAGGUAUUUUUCCCCUUUUUUAGCUUACAGAUUUGUUGACAUUGGGUUGUCCCCUGCACCAGAAGUGGCUUUCUUUGCUAUGAAGAUUGCUGUAUGCAUUUCGGAGCUUAAAUUAGCUGCUUAAUGUAAUGAGUGAGAACAUCAUAGAGUCAGAUACCUUUACUGAAAUUCAUAUUCUGGGCCUUUAUUGAUUUUGGUGAAGAGUGUUUGCAUAUAAGAGUGCUGCUUUAAUAUCAUUUUACUUGAAUAUUUCAGGCUGCUUAGAUUUCUUGUCUAGACAUGAAGUAUGUUGCUCCUGAUUCUUAUAUUUCAUUGAGCUUCUGCUGAUGAAUUAGGGUUUUAUUUUUCUUGAAAUGGUGUUUGGUAUUAAUUUUACAUUGAUUUAACGAAAAGCCAUCUUAAUCAUUUUAUUGAUCCAGGCAUCUCCACUGCUUCUUGUGUACUGCUCUUCCUCCUGAUCCUGUAACUUGGAUCUUGAACUUUCAGUCUUUAUGCAUUUAGAUUUGUUUGUGAAGCAUUCAAGGAUCACAUUAUUAUUAUUCAUUUAGAGUUGUUUGUGUAGCAUUCAAUCAUGACAUUAUUAUUGUUUGGGCGGAUGGGAACUUGAAAGAACCAUCUUUCGAUGCAUAUUAGGUUCCUUUUCCUUUUGCUAGAUAUUAGUUUGAAAAUAUAUCUUUGUGAUAUGUUGGGCAAGAAGAUUUAAGCACAAAAUGUUAUGGAGCUGAUUAUGGAUAUCAACCAAAAAAUAAUUUAUGCAUUAUUAAUUGACCAUGGGCUAUAUGACCACGGCCGCAAAUAUAGUUCCUUAAAAAUCAGUCUAUAUUUAUAGAUUUAAUAUCCACUGGUGCAGAUUGUAUUUUUUUAAAGGACCGGAACCUUGUCUUCCUGGAUGCCUAAGCCAAUAAUGCAACUUUACUCUUCCUCUCUUAACAAUUUGCUAGUAUUUCUUUUUUAAAUUUUUCCUGAUGGUGAGAUUUGAGCCUGGGAUGUAGCCUUGCAACUUUCAACACCAGAUCCGGCAUUCCUAUGCCUGAAUAUCCGAAUGAUUCUAUGUCAUUAGUAAUUCUUUCAAAGUUAUUUUUGAGGAAAGUAUGUGGUCCUUGAGCUUAUUGUGUUCUAGUAAUGAAUAUCCCUGUGAGCUUAGGUUUCUUCCUUGUGAUUAUGUGCCAUCUUUGCACUUUGUUUCCUUGACUUUCUUGCCUUAUCUAGUGGGUAUCUAGAUUGCAUUAUGGAGUUUUUCCUGUGCAUUUCUGUUGCUGGUGAGCAUGGAAUUCGAAUUUGCAACACUACGGUUGACACUCAGAGUAUCUAUUCAUUUGAAAUUUCUUUCCCUGUCCAAUACAUAAUAAAUAUGGCUCAAACUGCCCUUUGUGUCCUAUAAAUGCAAUCUUUCUAAUUCCCCUUUUUUGCAAAACCUCAUUCACAAUGCUAGAUAUAAAUGAUGCACUAUAGGACAUCAUCAUUACAUUUCAAUCGGCAUGGUAUUCCGUGCUUCUUCAAUGGUAUACAUAUAUAUAUUUUUUUGAUCGAUGGUUUGUAUAUUUUAGCCCUCUGAGACUGUUGCAUUGCUGUUCCCCAUCCAAUAUUUGGUGUUUGAGCAUUUAAUGAUGCACUAUAGGACAUCAUCAUUACAUUUCAAUCGACAUGGUAUUCCGUUCUUCUUCAAGGGUAUAAUUUUAUUUUAUUUUUUGAUUGGUGGUUUGUAUAUUUUAACCAUCUAAGACUGUUGCAUUACUGUUCCCCAUCCAAUAUUUGGUGUUUGAGCAUUUUCAACAUUUGAAUGGAAUCUUUUACAAGUGUGUACAUCUAUAAUAGUUAUCCAAAUUGCCACCUUGUAGCAACUCAUUCAGCCAUUUUUGUAAGUUGGAUGAUUUACCAAAAGUCAGUUAAUAUUAGUUGUUAUUUACUUAAUUUAACAAAUGAAAAAAAUUGGAACAUGUAGAAAUUUUGAAAAAAAUUCAUAGAUUUUUCAUAGUUGUAGAAAAAUAUUUAAAACUAAGUCAUAAAGAAAAUUAGUUAUAUAUAGUUAUGCCUAUAAGAACUAUAAAAAAAAUGCUAUAAAUAGUUUGUGUGCAGUUGGUCUUUUGAAAAGAAUAGCUUUUUGUUGAUAAUUUCAAAAAGAAAUAAACAUGCACAGAAAAACAAUGAAUUCUUUUCAAUAUUUAAAACUAAGUCAUAAAGAAAAUUAGCUAUAUAUAGUUAUGCCUCUAAGAAAUAUAAAAAAAAAUUGCUAUAAAUAGUUUGUAUGCUGAUGGUCUUUCAAAAAGAAUAGCUUUUUGUUGUUAAUUUCAAAAAAGAAAUAAACAUGCACAGAAAGACAAUGAAUUCUUUUCUUCAUCUUAUACUGUUCAAGCCUACAGCCAGGUAAACAUAUUGCACUUGAUAGCGACUUGUUCAACCACUGAAUCAAGUUUGCUUGUCCAUUUAACAAGUAUCAAUCCAUACGAGUCUCAUGUGUUUCACUUCAGUUUGAUUAGCUAAGCGUUUUUAAAAGAAGUAUCAAAGAAAACCUUGAAAUUUAAAAAGGAAAAAUAAAAAUACAGAAAACCAGUCUUAUUUUUUUUUUGGAAAAGGGAGAGUACAGUUGCAAUUCUUAGAGAAGUCAAUGAGGAGGUGGAGAUGUGGGGUAUCGGCCCUGUACCUCUCGCAUGCUAAGCAAGUGCUCUACCUUCUGAGCUACAUCCCCUUCUGAAAACCAGUCCCUUUAUAAAAUAUUUUAGUUAUAGAGAGGUCAUGUCAGAAGCAACUUAAAGAUCAACAUCUAUGUAUAGAAAAAGAACUGAUCAUUUUGGUUUGUAUUUUGGUGUUUAAUAUAAAGAUCUACUGAUUUUAAUGAAGCGAUUAGAUCCGAUGGAUACAAUUUAGUUUUCAAAUGCAUUCUUGAAAACCAGCAGAAUCAGGGUAUGGAUUUCAAGGUUCUUCAUUUUAGUUCAAUAUUUUGUCGUUUUAAGGUUAUGGGACAAGCAUACAUGGCUGGAGUCUACUGUUUGCUUGGAUUAUUAAUUUAGGAGUGGGGUUGCUUGAUCCUAUUCAGAGAAUCGCAUCAUAAAAUUGAUUUGUAAAGAAACUCAAAAUCAUCAUUUUUUAGUUUACUUCCAAAAGGACUUGCCUUCUGACUAGUGCAUAAAUUGAAAGUGAACCGGGAUCUGCAUGAGCUAUUGGCUUGAAAUUUGUGAAUAGAUGUGAAUGAAAGAUUUACAUAGUGAUUUAUUGUUGAAUUACCUUAAAAACAGGAUAAUCCAUGAAGGAAAAGGAUGUUAGUUGGACUUAAUUUACUUGAAAAGUACCCGGAUGCCUGAUGUGCGUGCAUUGGCUUCUUUGCUUGAUAUAGGAUAUUCUUCUUUAAUUUGUUUUGCAUAGAAUGGUUUGUUGGUAUUAGAAUGACUACAGAGCUUUGUUUCGGGUGGAUCUUCUUGAUACGGAUUGUUCAUGAUAGUUUAAUAUGAGCCCAGGAAUAAAAUGUCCUAUGGAGACAAGGUUUACUUUGUAAUAUGUUAAGGUUCAUCAGUUUCAAAAUGAUUUGAGGUAUUCAAGACUUCUAUUAUACUAUGAGGAAGAAGAAACAACUUCAAACCUUAUUAGGUCUACGUUGCAUAUGGCCAACCCACCUAAUCUACUUUCCUUCAUUUUCUCAUCUAUUGGAGCCACAUCUAAGUUCCCUCAUUUAUACUCAUUUUGAAUCUAUCCUUUCUUAUUGUGCCACUCAUCCAUUUCGACAUCCUCAUAUCAACUAGACUCAUCUUUUGGAUAUGUUGUUUCUUGACCGCUCAACAUACAUCCAUGAAGCAUGGCUAGUCUUACAGCCAUCGUAUAAAACUUUCCCUUUAGUUUCAUUUUUAUGCGGCAAUCACAUAAAACUCUGGAUGCACAUCUCCACUUUGCCCAGCCAGCUCUAAUCCUAUGUGCGACAUCAUCCUCAAUCUCUCCAUUCUCCUAGAUUAUCGACUCAAGAUAUAAAAAAUAAUCUCUUUUAGGUAUUUAUUGGUCAUCAAUCGUAACUACUUCCUCGUUAAUAUUCGUAUUAUUACCAAGAUUGCAUUCCAUAUAUUCUGACUUAAUCCUAUUAAGUUUUAGAUUCUAAAGCUUCCCUCUAAAGGUCUAACUUUACAUUGACACCUUGAUAUCAUCAAUUAAAACUUCUUCAUCCACGAACAACAUGCACGACAAUACUUUUUGUCCAUUCAUUUGGUAUUUUGUUUGUUCUCACCAUCUUGUUGAACUGUUUGGUCAUCCAGAUGAUGCUAGUUUCUGCCAUACACUUCCAAACCUCUAUUGGGAUACCAUAUAGUCCUAAAGCCUUUACUUCCCUCAUUCGUCUUAAAGCUUCUUUCACUUUAGAUCUCCUAAUCCUACAAAUGUAUUAAUGACCUACGACUUCAUUUAAGUCGAAGGUUUCUUUAAACGGUGUGCUCCCAAAGUAUUCAUCAUUUAAGAAUUUUUGAAAAUAUACUUGCCACUUUUUGUUGACCUCGUCAUUUUUGACCAACACCCUCUGAACCUCACUUUUAAUGCAUUUGAUAUGAUCUAGAUCCUUAUACUUUCCUCUCUUUCAUUUUUGCUAGUUUGAAGACUGCUUUUUCACCUUCGCUUGUCCCCAGUUUAUUUAUAGGUUAUCAUAUGCCUUAAGUUUAGCCCUACUUACUAUUAUCUUAGUGGUUUUUUUAGUAUUUUUAUAUUCUUUUAAGUUUUGAUCAUUUCUAUCACAUUGUUAAGCUUUAUAACAUGAUCUUUUUCGCCAAUAGCCUUUUGAACCUCAUUACUCCACCACCAAGUUUCUUUAUUAUAAUUUCUUUUCCCUCUGGAUUCUUAUAAAACGUCAUUUGUCACUUUUUUAAUACAAUUAGCUAUCUCAUUUGUCAUUCCACAUAACAUUACCUUCGUUCUCAGAAUUCCAUUUUUACUCUUUUACCAAUUUACUAAAUAAUUUUAUUUUCGCCCUUUUUAAAUUCUACCGCUAUUUCUUGGACACUUAUUGAUUUCACUUUUCUUGUAUCUCUUUAUGCAAGUAUCCAUCAGCAUGAGCCAAAACUUACAACCUUUACAUGAUGAUCGAUCUGCCUUCUUAACUAGAAAGAAGUUUAUUUGGCUUUUAUAUGAUCUACUUUUAUAAGUUAUUAAUUGUUCAUCUCGCUUUUUAGAGUACGUGUUUGCUAUUGCUAGCUCGUAAGCCAUAACAAAAUCUAAAAUAGCAUCACUCAUCUCAUUUCUUUCCCCCAAACCAUACCUUCCAUGUACCCUAUCAUAUCAUCUACUAUCUUUUGUUUUAUGACUAUUUUAGUCCCAUCUUAAAAAAACCCUCUCUUCAUUUAGUAUUCCUUAGACUAGUCCAUCCAUGUCCUCCCAUAAUCAUUUCUUAAUUCUCUUCGUUAGGCCUACCUGUGGCGCAUAAGCAUUAAUUACAUUAGUUAUCUCCUCCUCUAACAUAAGGUUAAUUAAUAGGAGCCUAAUACUUACUCUCUUAAUAUCCAGUCCUUUAUCCUUUACAUCUUUAUCUACUAUUAUGCCUAUGUCAUAUCUAUUAUUGUCCUUUUGCAAUAUACCAAUGAUUAUAUCCAUCGAAUUCUUUAGCUUUAUCUCCUUUCCCUUAGUUUCUUGUAGGCAUGCCAUGUUACCUCUCCUUUCUCUCAUUUUAUCCACUAACUCCAUACUCUUACCUAUUAUAUUUCCUACAUUCCAUCGCUAGAAUAGAUUCUAUUCUCUUGGUUUGGCCUAUCGUCCAAAAUGGUAGGGAACCCCUGCAGUGUUUAAAAAAGUAAACCACUCAGCGCUUAGGCGGUCUGGAAGGCCUGGGCGCAUCGCUUAGGCGGCCAAACUGGGCAGCCGACCUUGGGCGGCCGCCCAGGGCCUGCGUCCCACCCAAGGGCAAAAUUUUUUUUUUUUAAGUUGUAUUGAUUUUUUUUGAAAUAUAAAGGGUUUGAAGGAUGGGUUUUAGGUUCAUUUCAAACCUAAACCCACAAGAACCCAUUUUAGAGAGAAAGAAACCUCAAGAAAACUAAUUUUUGUGACUUUCAUUGCAUCAAAGUGUUUCUCAAAGUUACGAAAAACGGAUCCAAACAUCACCCAGGUAGAUUUGAUUUAGUUUUGGAGAUUUAUAAUCUUAUUAGAGGGUGUUUUUUAUUAUUUUAGCACUAGAAAACAUUUUCGAGAUGGGAGUUUGGAGUUCAAGCAAUCAAAGUAAGUGCAAAAAUUUAUUUUUUAGAUUGUUUGUUUUAUUUUGAGAUGUCUUCUUCAGGAUCUAGUCGAAGUGGAGAUCCGUGUUGGAAAUAUGGAUAUAACCCGAAUCCAAAUGACAAAAACUGGUUUAAGAAGCAUAUUGCUGGUAUUAAGGGGGAUGUUGCCCAUUGUAAAAAUAUUCUUGAAGCUAUCAGAGAGGAGAUUGAGUAAUCUAUGAGUUUUGUAAAACAAAAAUUGGAACAAAAUCCUUGUCAUUUGAAUAGAUCUAUUUCUGCUACUUUUAAAAGAAGUGAUUCGGGUUGGAAGUAUCGUUAUAACCCAAAACCAAACGAUAAAAAUUGUAUAAGGUGUAAUUUUUGUGAAAAAGAUACCAAUGGGGGUAUUAACCGAUUCAAGAAACUCCUUGCUGGUAUUAAAAGGAAUGUUGCUUCUUGUAAAAAGGUUCUUGAAGCUGUUCGAGAUGAGAUUAGACACUUCUAAAUUUAAAAAAACAAGAAAAUGAUGAAAAUGAGCCUUGUUCUACAAAAAUAUCUUUUCCAGGUUCUUCUAGAAGUGGUGAUCCGAGUUGGAAGUAUGGUUGUAACCCGAAUUCGAAUGACAAAAAUCGUAUUAAAUGUAAUUAUUGUGGAAAUGAUACUAAUGAGGGCAUUUACCGGUUUAAAAAACACCUUGCCGGUAUUAAGGGAGAUAUAGCCCCGUGUAAAAAUUUUCUUGAGUCUAUCAAGGAGGAAAUUAUACAAUAUUUGAGUACAGGGAAGCACAAAAAGAUAAAAAAAGGUAGAGCAGCCAAGACUCCUAAGGCCUCAUCUACCCAUUACUAGUAAGAGGGAGGUAGAAGAAGAGGAGGAAGAGGCAGAUUCAGAAGAAAUAGAGGAGGACGAACGUUAUAUUGAAGAGAGAGAUGACUUUGAUGAUGAUGGUUUUGAUUCUGAUGCAUAUGAUGAAGCUGAUCCUAUUCCUUCUGAUAAUGAUGACUGAAGACUCUUGGUGUUGAGUGUUGACUGUUGUGUUGAGUGUUGACUAUUGUGUCUGUAUAUUUUUUUAAUUUCUAUAUAUUUUCUAUUUCUUAUUUUUAGUUUCUAGUUCUACUAUCUAACUUAUACGUGUAGAGUCUACAGUGUAUCAAACUAUCAGUGUAGUGUAUGCUUGUAUGGUUUUACUGUUUUAGCAUUGUAUGAAAAAUAUGGAUUAUGGUUUUAUGGAUUAUCAAACUACUGGGAUUAUGGUCUUAGUUUUUUUUUUUUUCAAUUGGGCCGCCCAGGUUUUGGGCACCCACCUAGGCGCUGGGCGGCCUGGCCCUCCAUGGCCGCCUACCGCCUAGCGCUUUUUGAAACACUGAACCCCUGCAUACUUAUCAUUGCAAUCGGUUGUCAUUGCUUGCUGCUCAUCAUUUCUAGGGAAAGCCGUAGCUAACCCAUUCUCAUUUCUCACUGCAUCUGGGUUUUGAUGCAGCACAUCGCUUACAGGGGGAACUCUAGCAUGAGCUUAUAACAUAGGUUCAGGAGUCAUGAAAAGAUGUGGCAAAAUUUUAUGCUGGCCUACCUAACACAACCCUUCUACUUUGUCCAGACUUGGGACUGGCAUGACCUGGUCGGGACUAUCCAUGAGUUUAUUUUGGAUUGCUUAUCAAUAAAAAUUGACAAGAAAUAGAGACUACAAAAAUGUGGGUUUUAUUUUUACUUGUUGAUUUGAUGCAGAGGAGUCUCAUGCACCAUUGGGUAAUUUAGAUCCUGAGAUUUCAAGGGUGAUUCCUUAAUGCUACUUGUUGACUUAGAAGGGCCUCUUCCACUCUUUUUUUGAAGGGCACCACAGAUUAUUGAUUGUCCUAAAAGAGGUAAACGAGGUGGCUGGAAACUUAGCAAACUUGGGCAUGAGCAGGCCUGGGUUGAGGUUAUGGGCCUUAAACCCACCCUUCUUUUUCCUAUUACUACUUUCAAUUCUUCAUAUCUGUUUUUCUUUGGAUACAUAAACCAAGAAUACCCGCCCAUGAGUGCAUGCAUGUAAGACGUUGAGGAAUGAUGUAGCAUUUAUUAUCCACAAGUAUCACAAAGAGAAUACACAUACAUACACUUAUACACACACACGCACAUAUAGUGAAAUAUGGUUCUAUAAGCUGAUUGGCCAUACACACACAGAGGAAAAGGAUUUGACCUACCCUAGGGGGCUCAGCUGUAGUAACUGCCCUAGUUAGAAAACCAUUGUUAGUAGGGUCCUUUGGAACCCAAAUUUUGUGGAUGUUCCCUGCUCAUCAUUGCAUCCAAGCCCAAAAAUAAAAUUUUGAAUUUUUACCUGAAAGGCCCAAAAGAAUUGUAACCCAACCCUAAACAUGUGCCGUCGAUUUCAUGAACAGUUGGAUUUGGGUUGUAAAGGACUCAAAAUCAGUUUUUCCUUUCUCUUUUGAAUUGUUCAUCUGGUGGUGAUGAGUCAAUCUACAAAAUUUGGGGUCAAAUAGAUGCAUCUAGGGCCUCGAUCUAAGAUCAUUUUUUCCUUUCCUGAAAAUGGACAGGCCAUAUUCACUGCAUUUUCUCUCCUCAAAAAAAAGAAAAAUCGUUUUCUACGGUAUUUUUUCAAGUUUUAUUCACGAUCUUGUUUGAUGGAUCCAAGAGAGUGUGUGUACAAAAUUUGGGCUCUAGCAAAUGUCUCUAAGACCCUUAAAAAUGAUGUAGGGCAGACACAACGGCAGUUUGCCCAGGGGCAGAUCAAAUCUACACACACCCCCCCCCUUCCCCCCUCACACACACACAGACACACAUGUCGAGAUGAAAGCUUCCCUACCACAUAUAUAUUUGAGCCGCAUUCAUUUAUCUGUUUGCUUUUUAUUAUUCCCUCAUGGUAUGGUAUGUACAUACACCCUAUUAUCAGCCUUCUCUGUAAUGAUAGUAACCUUGGCACAUGGGUGUUGUUUCCUCUCCUAAAAGAAGUUUUGCCUUUUGAUUCUAUAUUUGUCUCUGACCUUCUUUCUCCCACUCACAUGUCGUCUAUUCAAAUCACGUGUAUCAUUUUCUAUUGAGUCUCAUUUUCAUGGAGCAUGUGUAUACUGGUCUACUUUUUAUUUACUUGUGCUUAAAUAAUUUUCAUGAUAAGAUUAUUCAUAAUUCCUUUAUUACUUCAUGUGAAUUGGAAGAGCUAAAAAAGUGACUGAAUGCCAUGGUCCAACUAGUUCAGCCUAAACCAUAUGCACAUUUGAGAUCUAUGCCGCACGAUUUGCCAAUAUAAAUUUGCUUUGUGUCAGUAGAAAAGAUGUGUUGGACUUGCUUGAGUAAUCUUUCCAGGGCCAAGCUGAGGUACUUUGGCAAGUUUCAUGUUAUCUUGUUGGGUUAUCAAACGAAUGUACUUUGUAAUGUGAUUAGACUUUACUGUUUUGCAAAGAACAUUUGGUGAUCCAUAGCAAUCAAUCUCUUUGAAUUAGUUUGUUAUAUAUUGUUUAGUUCCGUAGAAAUUUACAAUGAGUAGUUUCUUCAUUACAACAAAUGGAAGGCACAAUAAAGUACUUGAAAAUCUCAUCAUGUAUUACGUUUACUGUAUUGAUACCAACAUAAAACUUGUGUCUAACAUGAAAAAGUUGUAUCCAUGAUCUUCUUGUCAUGUAGAAGCAAGACCAUGAAUCAUCACACACUAUGGAUGAUUAAAUACAUACAGAGGAAUCCAUCCAAAAUUUAAGAUUUCCAGGUCUAGGUUUUUUUUCUUAAAGUGCCUUAAUAAACAAGCGGAUUCUUUUAGGUGUUUUUUACCAGAGACUGAGAAGUUAAGGGUUCUAACCAGUUAUAAAGGCCUUACUGGCGUUGAACUGUGAAAGUUGUUGAUCUAGUCUAACCAGGUUAGACUGCCAAUCCUGUCUGUUGGAUUGCCUAAUGGAGAAAAAAAGAAAAAAAAAAGAAUGAUAGAGAAAUAUUUGUCGGGUUCAACUAGUCCAUUCAGCAAGUUCUAACAGUUCUGUUGCUUCAGUUUAUGCCAACUCUGACCAUUUCAACACUAUUCUCACGAAUUUCUUCUCUUUUUUCGAUGAGUAACAGAAUUCUGACCAGUUUGACCUGGGAUAGUGUUCUUUUUUUGUUCAAGGAUUUAUCUGACACAUAUAGGUUAGUUCUGGUCCAUGUUAAUGAAGAUUGAACUGCCUUGCCCAUGUUUGCUUUGUGGCACUUAUUUCAACAUACAUAUUUUCUCAGUCCAAUAGAAUUUUCUAUUUAAGGACCUAUGCUGAUAUUUGAAGAUUAGAAGCUCUUCCAAUCACAUGUAAACGCAGAUGAAUAACCAAUGGGUCACCACAUGAGGCCUUCUAUGAAGGAGUUGGUAAGUGUGUGGGAAUUAGAUCAAGAAGCAUGCACGAUUCUAACUCAGCACAUUAAAUUUAUGCUCUAGGAUGAUAUUUUAGGACAAAUUGCCUCAAGCAAUGACGGAUAAUGAUUCUAACUCGGCACAUUAAAUUUAUGCUCUUGGGUGAUAUUCUAGGAUAAAUUGCCUCAAGCAAUGAUGAACACAAUUUCCCAAUUGCUGUUCUGAUGAAUUCAAACAAGCGGUCAAAUUACUUUCCUCGUGAAUGAGUAAUGCACUUCUGACAAAUUAAGGGCAUGUGCAACGCCAAGCCAAAGAAAAUUUACCAAUUGCAAAAGGCACGAAAAAGUUUGUUCUUGUAUUUGUGUAUAUUUUUUUGUUCCAUGAUGUGAUGUCCAUGUUGACUUUUGUUCAUUAUAGAAUUUGGAAAUAGAUUGCAUUGGACUCUAAGGUUCCAACUUUUGGUCUGUGACCCUCAUGUAUUGAAAUUCAAUGACAUGAACUGGACUAUUAUACAUUCUGCUAACGGAUCUAUCAUUAACAACCAUUACAUUUAUGUCAUUAAUUUCCUGUAAAUUCUAUUAGAAUAAUUAUUCGACUAAUGUAUCUGUGGGUAAUUGAUCUCGACAGAGAUUUAGUAAAGGCAGUGUUUCAUGCGGUGCACUCGUGUGCUUUCCCUCCUUUUCGCCUGAUUUUGGACUUGAAACACAUCCUAAAUCUUUGCAAAUCCAUUUCCGCCUGACAUUCUUGAAUUUUGAGCUCCCAAAAUCAUGUAGAUUUGAUGAUUAUUGAAGAGUUGAAAUGAAUGGUCCAAAGAAAAGUGAAUGGGAUGGACUAGUUUUAGGACUUAAAAUUCAUUUUCCUUUUCAGAUUCAUGAUCAGGAAGGUCAUGAUGAUAGAGAUCUGUCAGGUGUUGGGUUGUUAAUCAUCUCCAAGAUGGAUUUUGGAAGGGUGUCAACAUGAGUCUGUGGACGCACCGUAACCUCACUUUUCAGUUAGUAAGUUGAAGCUCUGUUGGCGAGCUUUGUGCAGAAGAUGAACAAUGAUGAAAAAAAUAUGAUAUACUACACCUGAUUAACCAACAGUAAUUGCACUUUCAAUUGCUUUCAAGGUAGAUGAACAGCAUUGGUUAGUUAUUCAGAUGUCUUUGUAAUCCAGUCAUUGAAUCUUGGUGAAGAUAUUAAUAUUGUUGCUUAGGCUGUCUUUAAGUUGCACUUUAUGGGGUGUCCACUCAUGGAUUGUCUUUCUAUACGAUUUUGUAAUGUGUGCUUCUAUUCUUGAGCUGUGAUUUUUGGUGUAGAGAUUUUAUUCUUUUCAACAGAUCGGAAUGUGGAUCUACAUUGUUUUAUGCCAGUGAAAUCUUUGCAGGAUUUUCUUUGCAAGUAUUCUUUAAUUCAUGUUUAGAUUGGUUGAAGCUCUUCUUAUUAUUGGAUUUUCUUUGAAAUAUUGCAUGUUGCUGUAGAGCUACCAUUUUGUUUGAGUGCACGCUCAGCUCAAAAGAAUGUUGUCAAUGUUUUGAGAGUCAAAUUCAUUUUGAGAAAUGUCAGAUUCCUUUUGUCUAUGGGGUAAAAGGCAUACUUAGGAUGUGUUUGUCCCAGCUGAAAUGUAUUACUACUGUUUCAAUAAACUUUCAAGGUAAACAGAAAUUUCAAAUAUUGGAUUCAAUUAUCUAAAAUUUCUUCAGAGAAAAGCUGAAUCAUGAGAACCAUAAAGAGUGGUUGGUGUAUGAAAUUGUAAUUCGUGAGUUGUUAGGUGCUGAAAGGGGAACUGUGUUUGUUGUUGGGAAGAGAAAAUUGAGAAGACCUUGUAAGUGACAGACAUACUAUCAUGAAUGACAGCGAUUGUGAAAUUACGAAUUAGGUAGGAGUUGCCUGAUUAAUUAUCAAAGAUCAAUCAUUGAGCUUGUCCUCGUCUUAGUUCAUUCUACCCAUUGGUGCUCACUUUCCUAUACUUGAGUCAUACUUCUGGUUAUUCUAAGUUAAUUCUCUUUCUCUAAUGCAUAGGUUUCUUUACCUCUUGAAUUAUAGGACAAAAGGAUUCAUGGGUAAACUGAAGUUCCUAAUCUGGUGGUGCAAGUGCUUUCUUGCAUUUGUUGAUGAAUUUUUGAGGUAUAAUUUGUGUUCUGAAAAGAAAGCCUCUGUGUAAUGUAAUGCAAUUGCAAUUGUUUCAAAGAGCAGGCACUCAGCUGAAACUAAGAGGUCAAGGUGUUAUUAGAGGAGUCAAAUGUUUAGUUCAAUGAUGUUUGAGAAAGGGGUUACGGUUUGAUGAGAGGAAUGGAGCAAGAAUUCACCUCGCAGUUCAACAGUGUUUGCAACACCUGGAUCAUUGACCACACAUAAUACCCAAUUUUUCUCCAUUUUGUUUUGGUUUUAUAUAGGCCAC
Molecule: long non-coding RNA, 13953 nt
Filed under: Amborella trichopoda
Lineage: Eukaryota; Viridiplantae; Streptophyta; Magnoliopsida; Amborellales; Amborellaceae
Description: long non-coding RNA (ATRI_LNC004300)
Source: RNAcentral